This 253-nucleotide ribosomal RNA is filed under the name uncultured bacterium. Its description in RNAcentral is "partial 16S ribosomal RNA". It matches the Rfam family "Bacterial small subunit ribosomal RNA", at positions 524 to 776 of the family's 1533-position model. The record is from RNAcentral.
UACGAAGGGGGCUAGCGUUGCUCGGAAUCACUGGGCGUAAAGCGCACGUAGGCGGCUUUCUAAGUCAGGGGUGAAAUCCUGGAGCUCAACUCCAGAACUGCCCUUGAUACUGGCGGUCUCGAGUCCGGGAGAGGUGAGUGGAACUGCGAGUGUAGAGGUGAAAUUCGUAGAUAUUCGCAAGAACACCAGUGGCGAAGGCGGCUCACUGGCCCGGUACUGACGCUGAGGUGCGAAAGCGUGGGGAGCAAACAGG